AGGUAUCUAAUCAUUGUUCUUUCCAUUCUAAUGUUUUUUAAUUGUAGCAUAAUUGAACUUCAAAGUAAAGAAGAAAAGUAGGAGCAACGUGGUAAUGAAAAAAAAAAAGGAAAACCAGGAAAUUUGAAACUAGUGAUCCAUUAUGCAGCAAAGAUAUGUAUGUAAUUUGAAGUAAAGUAAAUAAUAAUAGAGAGGAGGGCAAUGUUUUUUUAAACUGCAGCAGAGCUAAGCUGAAAAAAGAAGAAAAGUAGAAGUAACACGGCAGCGAAGUAAAAAAAGAAGAAAGUUGAGAAAAAAAUGUUGAAAGUUGAAACUAAUGGCGGAGUCGAGGCUACUAAUUGCCAUGGAAAUUUCGCAGCGUCUGGUGAAUUCGUUCAGGAGGUCCCGUGGCACAGUCGAGGUCGGGAGUUGAAUCUAAAUGAUCCUGGUUCUCGGAAGGAGAGGACCAUCAGGACACGCGACACUUCCCAAGUCGAAGGAAGCGUGCCCUUUCUUAUUUUUUCCUCCUCUUUGGAACCCUGUGGUUGCUACGGGCCCCUGGAAUCAUCCUGGUGAAAGAUUCAUCGUUGCUGUUUCAGCAGACUCUAUAUAUGUUACCAACUAAUGCAAUUUGUAGAUCUUUGAUAAAAAAAAGGAGAAAACCAGUCUCCAGGGAUGAAUUUUACAAUAGAAAUGACAUAAGAAACAAAAUCAAUAACAUAAGCAAAUUAUCAAGUCAGCUACUGAUAAUAUCAAUUUUGAUUUAUAAGAAGAUAAAAAGAAGAUAUAUGUAUUGUGUGUGGAGAAAACCACUGACGCCAUUUUCUUUGGGAUCCCCUUUAUUUUGUCCGGACCAAUUGUAGACGAGUCUCACCUGUACAUUACCUCUCACCUGUGCUUUAGUCUCCUAUUGGAGGAUUGAAGGCAGGUAACAGGCAAGUGUCCCUACCAAGCUGUAAUGGAGCUACUGGUACAAAAUGAAUCCUCUUUAGGAAGAGGAAACUAUUCUGUUUUAUUUUCAAACCACAUAAAAUUUCUUGAAUUAAAAGAAGCAUGGAUUUAUCAAGAUUGAUGUAAGCUAGUGGUUUUUCCGUAUUGGAAACUGGAUAUAUAUGUAUAGGACAUUUGUGACCAGGUGUGACAGACGUUUGCACUUGCAUUCGUGACGGUGUACACGCCAUGGACACGGCCGGCUGCUAGGUUUCGUCGAAACAGCUGGUGUCUGAUGUUGUCCCUACCCGAUGUCAGACUUGGAGCUAUUAAAAUUCAGCGAAAUCCAUCGCACCAACUCAGAACUAGCCGUAGCUCUUACUACAUACUAUUUAAUAUUACAAUAUUUUAUGGUGGAUGAAAGGGAAGAAACAUUACUAAAAUUUCUUCAAUGAAUGUUCCAAGAAGGCUCUACUUCUUUGUCACAGUCUGAUGAGGACUUUCAGGAACCUGAUCCAGUUGAUCAUAGUAAUGCGAUUGGACACCAAUGAGAUUCGAUCAACGAAGCUAAUCCAGCCUUCGCGAUUGGAUAGUGAUGUGACGGUAGAGGGUUGUUCUUCUCUCCAUUUCUCUCCCUUUCUUUUCUUGAAACCGACGACACGCAGUCGCGGAGGGGCGGCGCCUUCGAAUGGCAGCACCCAAAGCGCUGACGCCUUCGGUUUCACAGCGUGCUUCCGGCUUCAACUAGAGCAACAAUCUCGACUAUCAGAAAUCUUUCGACCGUUCUGAAAUAAACCAGGAGAGCACGUCGGGGCUUCCCAUUCGCCUUCGAAAAUGUGUUUACACGGCACUAUACACUUCACCGGAAUAAUUCUCGAUGUCUUUUUGCUCCGUACGAAAACGAACGAGUUUUCCUUGGCGCCUGUAUUGUGAGGUCCGCGAUUUCGCGGUAUCGCCUGAGUAAAUUCCAUCCAUCGGCGGGGGUGGCGGCUGUUACAAUUUACUGUUUCCACGUUCCGAUCUAUUUUAAUUAUUGCUGGCGAGCUUAGUCGCGAAAAAUUCCAUAAAUCUUCGUCUCCUGCGGUAAUUAGCGGGAAUACUUUCGACCAGCGGGCAUAAAUCCCGCAAUUCCUUCCAGGAACCUCGGAACAUUGACGACACGAGGUGCAACACAGAUCCAGUGUCUCUCAAGUAACCGAAUUUUUCAAAUUGAAGUGACUGAAAGUUCAUUUCUGAAUGUUUUACGCGAUAAUUGUUGAAGAAGAAAGAGGAAGGAAAAUUAUAGAGUGGCUGAAAAAUGGUCAGAAAUUGAUUUAAAAUCUUGUUCGAAUUUUUUAAAUAAUAAUUGAAGAAGAAAGGAGAAGAGAAUGGGAAUUGGCAAUCAGUAUCGGUUAUUUAUCAUAAUGCAAACUUAAUAUAAUAUUAAUUUAAUAUAAUAUAAAAUAAAUAAUAUAAUUAAUAUAUAAUUAUAUAUAUAAUAUAAUAUAAUAUAAUAUAAAAUUCUAUCUUAAAAUCUUUUGUUAAAGAUUCUUUAGGAAAGACUGGCUUAGACGUUUCUGGUUCUUAUGAACUUUUAGAAAAUUAAUUACUGGGCAAAGCCAAUUUGAGGUGCUGUGUCACGGCGUGAUCGUUUGAAAAAUGGAGGGACGUCGCGUAAAUCGGUAUUAUAGAGGCUUGAACGGCUGUAACUGUUCUUAAUUCGCGGGGACGUUUAUUUGCUGCACCCCGAGGCAAUAUAAUUCGACGCGUUUCCGCUAUUUUUAUCGUUUCGUGAUUCAUUUUCCCUACUAUUAAAAAGAAUUAUUGCCUUCGAGACUCAGAACGUGUUACUGCACCGACACUUUCCUGUCUUUUUAUAAUCUCUUCAUUCCUAACCUCCAAGUAAUUCGUUUUACACUUAUUUAAACUACCAUAGAUUAAUCAUAUCUUCUUUUAUUUCCAGAAAGACGCGUACUUAUAAUUUCUUCAAUAUCAUUCUUGAAUUAAUACUCAUUCAAACAUGCCUGCAUCUUCAUACAGAGAAGUAUAAAUUAGUUUUUAAUUCAUACAUCUUGUAUUCAGGAGCAAAUUUUAUUUAAGAACAUUUCAGGAUGAAAAAUAUUGGAAGAAAUUGUUUUCGAAUGGUAAAAAUACCUUUUAUUGUCGAAAGAGUGGAAACUGCGCUGAAGAUAAUAAUCGCUUUCCGUUCGCCGUAAAUCUCUCCUUAUGAACGGUGGCGAUAGGGCUUGCCUGCACGAAAAUAGAGUUUUUUCCUGGCCCUCGUAAAAUAUUUAUAUGCGCAAAUAGUGGAGAGCCGGGUUGAAAAUAGGGCUGAACGAAAAGAAGACAUAGAUAAGAGACCCGUGGAAUUUAUUCUCCUUCUUCUGUGUUGUUUUUCACCCCGGAAAUAUCUCUUUGGUCGGCACAUGAAAUUUUCCUUGCGAAAAACCUCAAACCAAUUUUUACUUUGAUCUCCUACGACUUUUCAUCUGACACUUAUCGUUUCAGUCUCUUUAUCUUUAAAUAGGGUAAAAAUACUGUUACAUCGAAGAAGGAACAGUUCCCUCAUUUACAGAAGAAAUCAUUUAAAAUUAACAUUUCUUCUUUUACAUUAAGCUACAUUCAUGAAUUUUAAAUUAAGAAAAAAUAUGUGAAAUGUCUUGUAGUAAAAAAAAAAGUGGAAUUUUUUAGUUGUCUUCUCUAUUGGACGAAGCUCUAAAAUCCUUUCCUGUGCAGAUGUUGACGACAAAGUAUCUAGGGAAUCGAAGAGGUGACAAAAUCGGUCCUUCGGUUUUAAUAGAGAAAUGGACCCAUUACGCUAUCGCUUGAAAAAACCGUUAUUCAUGUUGGACAGCUGUUUCCUUGGUUAAAAAAAGGUUGCUGCCGCUUUUCGAAAGAAACGAGUGUGAAGUGAUCAUCCAAAAUGGGCAAUGAAGUUUUUUAAAUUUUCUUUUUUUUUAAGAAAAUUGAAAAGAAGGACCUAACAAUCAUUAUUUUACUGAAAAUCGUAUAAUUCUAUCUAAAUUAUGUUUUUUAAGAGUAUCUUAAAAAAUUUAUUUCUGAGGUGAAGUUCCCUUUUUAUUAAUAUUGAAAGUGGAUUUCGAUCAUGCAAUGGAAGUAGUCGGUCAGAUCUUUGUUAGAAAAUCGUUCCGACUUUCCAGUCCCGCCUCCCAAACAGGAAAUUAGUUGCCGACAGGCGGUUCGAAUUAUACAUUUCUCGGUAAAGACCUCCUUUUUCUAUCUUCUGCCUCGAUUUUGCUUCAUCGGCCACAUCAAAGC
Molecule: long non-coding RNA, 4167 nt
Organism: Bombus terrestris (buff-tailed bumblebee)
Lineage: Eukaryota; Metazoa; Arthropoda; Insecta; Hymenoptera; Apidae
Exons: 7
Source: RefSeq, a predicted model, not a curated record